CCAGGCUAGGGGUACAAGUCCUGCAGAAUUGCGUUCCACUGGACCUAAGCAACGACCUGAAAGGGUAGCGACGACGCCUGGCGUUAGAGGAGAGCGUACUGGACGCAGUGUCUCCUCUGACG
RNAcentral lists this non-coding RNA (122 nucleotides) under unclassified sequences. RNAcentral's name for it is "Flavobacterium-1 RNA". It matches the Rfam family "Flavobacterium-1 RNA". The record is from Rfam by way of RNAcentral.